Molecule: ribosomal RNA, 254 nt
Filed under: uncultured bacterium
Lineage: Bacteria
Description: partial 16S ribosomal RNA
Rfam family: Bacterial small subunit ribosomal RNA
Source: RNAcentral
UACGGGGGAUGCAAGCGUUAUCCGGAUUUAUUGGGUUUAAAGGGUGCGUAGGCUGUGAGGUAAGUCAGCGGUGAAAUGCCCCCGCUCAACGGGGUGAAGUGCCAUUGAUACUGCCUUGCUGGAAUGCGGAUGCCGUGGGAGGAAUGUGUGGUGUAGCGGUGAAAUGCAUAGAUAUCACACAGAACACCGAUUGCGAAGGCAUCUCACGAAUCCGCUAUUGACGCUGAUGCACGAAAGCGUGGGUAUCAAGCAGG